Molecule: non-coding RNA, 153 nt
Filed under: Wenxinia marina DSM 24838
Lineage: Bacteria; Pseudomonadati; Pseudomonadota; Alphaproteobacteria; Rhodobacterales; Roseobacteraceae
Description: Ruegeria cis2 sRNA
Rfam family: Ruegeria cis2 sRNA
About the family: Cis-encoded. Targets ABC transporter.
Source: Rfam by way of RNAcentral
GACGAGGUGAAAUGCGGGUUGUAGUUGAUGAACACGUAGCCGCGCGCCUGGUCGAUGAUGUGGAACAGCGGGUUCCAGUCGAACAGGACCAGCAGGUAGCCGGGCAGCGAGUUGGCGACGAACAUCUUGCCGCUGAAGAUCAUGUUGGCGCGG